RNAcentral lists this ribosomal RNA (335 nucleotides) under uncultured bacterium. RNAcentral describes it as "partial 16S ribosomal RNA". It matches the Rfam family "Bacterial small subunit ribosomal RNA", at positions 338 to 693 of the family's 1533-position model. The record is from RNAcentral.
CCUACGGGUGGCAGCAGUGGGGAAUAUUGCACAAUGGGGGAAACCCUGAUGCAGCGACGCCGCGUGAGUGAAGAAGUAUUUCGGUAUGUAAAGCUCUAUCAGCAGGGAAGAAAAUGACGGUACCUGAUUAAGAAGCCCCGGCUAACUACGUGCCAGCAGCCGCGGUAAUACGUAGGGGGCAAGCGUUAUCCGGAUUUACUGGGUGUAAAGGGAGCGUAGACGGCAGCACAAGUCUGGAGUGAAAUGCCGGGGCUUAACCCCGGAACUGCUUUGGAAACUGUGCAGCUAGAGUGCAGGAGAGGAAAGGGGAAUUCCUGGGGUAGGGGGGAAAGGAG